AUUGGGAGUUGGGUUUUGUCUGGAGGAAGCAGCUUCUAGGAACUGCCUUUGUACGGUUUGUUUCUCCUCAGCUUAUCUCCCACUUGCUCUUCUUGGUAGUUACCAGGAAGUGAAUAGCAUCCGUCCCUCUGCCCUUCCUCCACCCGACACCCUGACACAAUGUUUCAGCAUUACCUUAAGCCUCUAGCAAUGAACUCAGCUUAAAGUGUCUGAAACCUGUGAAACUAUGAGCCAAAAUGACCCUUUCCACCUUCAGUGUAUUCUCUUGGGUGUUAGUCACAGCGGAGGAAAAGUGACUAAUACCUACACAAAUUUCAUUGCACUAAAAUGACAGGAUGUGACCUUCGCCUUGAAAAAACAACUACUAAAAUUGCUGUCAAAAAUUGUACCCAGAUAAUGAGUACCGUAUGGAGCCACAGAUACUGUUUCCUUAGUAAAUAUCAAAUACUGCAGUUCAUGUUGGAGCUACUACCUCAGAUUUCAUCUCGUACAGACAAGCUGUGUCACCUUGGGCAGGUAAUGUAAUUUCUCUGUGCUUUGUGCCCAUGGGUGAGUACCUCCAUAUAUAAAAUGAUGCUGAUUGGAAGCGUUGUUUCUAAGAGACCCUAUGGUUAAUCCGUUUAUUGCAUGUAAUACAAUAAGAAGGUGCCUGGCAUGUAAUUGUUCCUAUAUAAAUAUGUUCCGCUGCUCUCAGAGUACCUGCCUAACUACAUGGUUAUAAUUUUGUGUAAUGAAAAACUUCAUUAAGAAAUGCUGACCAAUGUUUUCCAAAUCUCUGAAUUUAAUUACUAUAAAUAAUUUGGAUAAAGAACAUGCAGGGAUGUAUUUAUACUAAGUCUACUCUGAGGACAUGGACUUGUUUGCAUACACAAGAGUUAGGUGUUUCAUGAGCAUGAACUGAAAGCCCCUGAUCAGCAGGAAGUGGUCUAACAAUAAUGGCACUUCCUUUCUGACCUCUGCCUUUAUUCAGGAGUCUCUUUCCUUACUUCUCUAUCCUUUUAUCUAUUAAAAUGAAGAAUGAGUACUAUAGAUAAAUGUAAAAAUUGGAACCUUAUAUUGGUCUCCAAUGGAUUUAAAGCAGUGGUUCUCAGCCUUCCAAAUGCUGUGAUCCUUGAAUGCAGUUCCUCGUGUUGUGGUGGCACCUAUCCCAUGAAAUGAUUUUCAUUGCUGCUUCAUAGCUUGUGAUUUUGCUACUGUUAUGAUUUAUAAUGUAAAUAUCUAUGUUUUCUGUUAGUCUUUAGGCAGCCCCAUGAAAGGGUUGUUCUACCCCUAAAGGAAUUGUAACACAGAUUGAGAAACACUACUUUAAAUGUUCAUUCCUGUGGUACACUGCUGGCUGACGUGCAAUAGUAAUGAGAAGCCUCAUUUCCUUUUACUGUGAUAAUGCUCAGAAAUGAUGUAGAUUUUGCCAUGGUGUUAUUUAUACAACAAAUUCCGGCCUUGUACAAACCGACAGCUUAAAGACAGUAUUUUGUCUAUGCCAGAACUGACUGGGGAAUAUCUAAAGCCAUACCCUGCAGUAAGAAUUUUGCAAUUUUAGUUUCUUUAAAAAUAUUAUGAGAAUAUUUUAUAAGAACUAUAAGAUAUAUUAUAAAGUAAUAUAAAAUUAAUAAAAAUAAAAGAAUAUAAGAAAUAUUAUAAGAAUGUAUUUAGGUUUUAAUCCCAGGUGUGGCAUAUGGGAAGGCUUCAGACUAUUCAUGGAAGCUGACUGAUAUCUCUUGUGCUCUAACAGGGCAUGACUUUACCAGCUGCGGAUAGUUUCUAAGACUGGGUGACAUUUGGAAUUCUGGGGACUUUUCAGAGGGUAUAUAAAUGCUAGGGCCCUUAGAGGUGGGGUGAGUUGUUGGUUGUCGUUGGUUGUUGUUGGUUGUCAUUGGUUGCUGUUGGUUGCUGUUGCUUGGUUGUUGGUUGAAGUUUGUUAAAUAGUCAUGCACAAAGAAGAAACAAUAAAAAGAAGACAUUAAAUAUCCUGAUAUUGAAGAUAAAACUUGCCCCAAGUAAUUGAAAGCCCCUAUUCAGCAGUGUUAGCAUCAGAAGCUGUUUACAAACAGCCUCUAAAUCCAGUAAUGAUGUCAUUCCUAGGUGACAGAACCCUCCUGCAUCUGUUCCCAUGACAACCAUUACACAUUCCCUGUGCAUGUCUUGCCUGCAGUUACCUGUGUUAUCUACAUCAUGGCACGGAUAAAAGACACAGACCCCAACCUAUCUCUCGCUUUUUCUUCCUCACCUCUUCCCUGUUGUCUCCCAAACAAAAAGAGCCCAGGACCAGAUAGGUUUAGUGCAGAGUUCUAUCAGACCUUCAAAGAAGACCUAAUUCCAGUUCUCAAACUAUUCCAC
This 2337-nucleotide long non-coding RNA is filed under the name Mus musculus (house mouse). RNAcentral's name for it is "long non-coding RNA chr10:10234990-10237327". The record is from RNAcentral. Lineage: Eukaryota; Metazoa; Chordata; Mammalia; Rodentia; Muridae.